UACCAGCUCUCCGAGUGGUGUGGAUGUUUAUUGGGCCUAAAGCAUCCGUAGCUGGCUGGACAAGUCCCCUGUUAAAUCCACCGAUUUAAUCGUUGGAGUGCGGGGGAUACUGUUCGGCUAGGGGACGGGAGAGGCAGACGGUAUUUUCGGGGUAGGGGUGAAAUCCUAUAAUCCCGGGAAGACCGACCAGUGGCGAAGGCUGUCUGCUAGAACGCGCCCGACGGUGAGGGAUGAAAGCUGGGGGAGCGAACCGGAUUAGAUACCCGGGUAGUCCCAGCUGUAAACGAUGCAGGCUAGGUGUUUGGGCGGCCACGUGCCGCUCUAGUGCCGCAGGGAAGCCGUUAAGCCUGCCGCCUGGGGAGUACGGCCGCAAGGCUGAAACUUAAAGGAAUUGGCGGGGGAGCACCACAAGGGGUGAAGCUUGCGGUUU
This 430-nucleotide ribosomal RNA is filed under the name uncultured archaeon. Its description in RNAcentral is "bacterial SSU rRNA". It matches the Rfam family "Archaeal small subunit ribosomal RNA", at positions 474 to 903 of the family's 1478-position model. The record is from RNAcentral.